RNAcentral lists this transfer RNA (72 nucleotides) under Ictidomys tridecemlineatus (thirteen-lined ground squirrel). RNAcentral describes it as "Spermophilus tridecemlineatus (thirteen-lined ground squirrel) tRNA". It matches the Rfam family "tRNA". Rfam says of the family: Transfer RNA (tRNA) molecules are approximately 80 nucleotides in length. Their secondary structure includes four short double-helical elements and three loops (D, anti-codon, and T loops). Further hydrogen bonds mediate the characteristic L-shaped molecular structure. tRNAs have two regions of fundamental functional importance: the anti-codon, which is responsible for specific mRNA codon recognition, and the 3' end, to which the tRNAs corresponding amino acid is attached (by aminoacyl-tRNA synthetases). tRNAs cope with the degeneracy of the genetic code in two manners: having more than one tRNA (with a specific anti-codon) for a particular amino acid; and 'wobble' base-pairing, i.e. permitting non-standard base-pairing at the 3rd anti-codon position. The record is from Rfam by way of RNAcentral. Lineage: Eukaryota; Metazoa; Chordata; Mammalia; Rodentia; Sciuridae.
GGGGCUGGGGCUCAGUAGUAGUGCACUUGCCUGGCAUGUGUGAGGCACUGGGUUCGAUUCUCAGCACCCCUC